GUGCCAGCAGCCGCGGUAAUACGGAGGGUGCAAGCGUUAAUCGGAAUUACUGGGCGUAAAGCGCGCGUAGGUGGCUUGAUAAGCCGGUUGUGAAAGCCCCGGGCUCAACCUGGGAACGGCAUCCGGAACUGUCAAGCUAGAGUGCAGGAGAGGAAGGUAGAAUUCCCGGUGUAGCGGUGAAAUGCGUAGAGAUCGGAGGAAAUCCCAGUGGGGAGGGCGCCUUUUUGGAUUGCCACUGACACUGAGGUGCAAAAAGCGUGGGUACCAAACAGGAUUAGAUCCCCUGGUAGUCC
This 293-nucleotide ribosomal RNA is filed under the name uncultured microorganism. RNAcentral's name for it is "partial 16S ribosomal RNA". It matches the Rfam family "Bacterial small subunit ribosomal RNA", at positions 505 to 796 of the family's 1533-position model. The record is from RNAcentral.